Molecule: long non-coding RNA, 1218 nt
Filed under: Bemisia tabaci
Lineage: Eukaryota; Metazoa; Arthropoda; Insecta; Hemiptera; Aleyrodidae
Description: lncRNA ENSSWEETPG006547
Source: RNAcentral
GAGCCCCAUGUCUGUGCGAUUCAAGGAGUCGAAGCUGUCGAACCAACAAGCCAAAGCACUCCUGUGUCAGAUGCAACCAUUGAGCAGGUUACCGCAGAUGAUGAGAUAGUAUUCCAAAGAAGAACCCGCAAAAAAGUCUUGAAAGAUAUUAAAAGCAAGAGGGUCUCAUUUCAUGAAGAUGUCAAUACCCUUGAUGCAGCAGAGAACAAAGAUAUCAAAAUCAAUGUCGGUCUCACAGACAGAGUCAGUGCUGACAUCCUAACGCCAACGGAAACAGGGACAAGAUCUUAACAGUUCAUUAGUGUUGAGCUCUAAUUUUACAGAGCCGGUAUUUUCAAUCGAGAAAAUGUUCUCUAAACUAAAAAAUAGUGUUUUAACUUUAGCCGAACGAGGGGUUCCCGAAGGACAGGAAGAUCGCUCAAUUGCUCCUCAUAUAUCGAAUUCGACUCUUCCCUAUCAUUCGGUUCCAAGCACCUCACGCAAACUAAAGCCCCAGAGUCUGAUCGAACAACGAGGUUGAAAAGUCCCGCCGUGAGGAACGUCCUUUCUGAAGCUCCAUCAAAAGCUCCUCUAGUCAAUCGGUUUCUACUAUCACUACAAAUGAAGGAAUCGAGAAAAAAGCAUGCUUCCCUAAACCAGCGACAUCAAAUCAGAGGAAUCAAAUCUCAUCGACCCCUAAUUGUCAAAGUUAAACCGUACGACAUAAACCUCAAAAGUUUUGAGCAUGUUCUGAACGAAUUGAAUGAUGAAAUCUCAGUGAAUCUUUGCAACAGGUUAGAAAAAAACUGGCAAAAAGAUGUAGAGGAAAGACUAGAAACUCACCUUUUCAAAGGCCAGCAAGUGAAAAUUCAUAAGGUGUUCAGAGUUUUAAGUACAAUUGGUGAGCCUCUGCUCACAAUAUUAACGGAUACUUCAUUAUUAGUGAUAGCUUACGAUCAAAAUGAGCUGGUCAUUCGUUUUUCAAUUACUUACAGUAAUAUCAAAAUAAUCAUGGUAGGGCCUGGAAACUUAACACUAAUGUUCAUUGAGCAAUAUCCCUUUGGUCAUUCUCACUUCACCAUCGUCACGGACAAUGAAAAUCUUCAUGGAGGCAAUGAUCUGAUAAGCCAUCUUGAAGUUAUAGUCCGCCAGAAGAAAUGUCCUACCAUCCCUGUCUUUUCCUCGUCAAUCCACGAGGAUAAGAAAUUUUUGAAAAAAAACCUCUAUCGAAGCAAAUGA